This 77-nucleotide transfer RNA is filed under the name Caudoviricetes sp. Its description in RNAcentral is "tRNA-Asp". It matches the Rfam family "tRNA". Rfam says of the family: Transfer RNA (tRNA) molecules are approximately 80 nucleotides in length. Their secondary structure includes four short double-helical elements and three loops (D, anti-codon, and T loops). Lineage: Duplodnaviria; Heunggongvirae; Uroviricota; Caudoviricetes. The record is from RNAcentral.
GGCUCAGUAGUUCAGUAGAGUAGAACGCCGCCCUGUCACGGCGGAGGUCGAGGGUUCAAGUCCCUUCUGAGUCGCCA